RNAcentral lists this ribosomal RNA (224 nucleotides) under uncultured bacterium. RNAcentral describes it as "partial 16S ribosomal RNA". It matches the Rfam family "Bacterial small subunit ribosomal RNA", at positions 524 to 746 of the family's 1533-position model. The record is from RNAcentral.
UACGAAGGGGGCUAGCGUUGCUCGGAAUUACUGGGCGUAAAGCGCACGUAGGCGGUCUUUAAGUCGGGGUGAAAUCCUGGAGCUCAACUCCAGAACUGCCUCGAUACUGGAAGACUCGAGUCCGGGAGAGGUGAGUGGAACUGCGAGUGUAGAGGUGAAAUUCGUAGAGUAUUCGCAAGAACACCAGUGGCGAAGGCGGACCCACGUGGCCCGGUAGUCGGAAC